RNAcentral lists this ribosomal RNA (1019 nucleotides) under bacterium. RNAcentral describes it as "bacterial SSU rRNA". It matches the Rfam family "Bacterial small subunit ribosomal RNA", at positions 83 to 1097 of the family's 1533-position model. The record is from RNAcentral.
ACCUGGCGGCGAGUGGCGAACGGGUGAGUAAUAUAUCGGAACGUACCCAAGAGUGGGGGAUAACGUAGCGAAAGUUACGCUAAUACCGCAUACGAUCUAAGGAUGAAAGCAGGGGAUCUUCGGACCUUGUGCUCCUGGAGCGGCCGAUAUCUGAUUAGCUAGUUGGUGAGGUAAAGGCUCACCAAGGCCACGAUCAGUAGCUGGUCUGAGAGGACGACCAGCCACACUGGAACUGAGACACGGUCCAGACUCCUACGGGAGGCAGCAGUGGGGAAUUUUGGACAAUGGGCGAAAGCCUGAUCCAGCAAUGCCGCGUGAGUGAAGAAGGCCUUCGGGUUGUAAAGCUCUUUUGUCAGGGAAGAAACGGUGAGGGCUAAUAUCCCUCGCUAAUGACGGUACCUGAAGAAUAAGCACCGGCUAACUACGUGCCAGCAGCCGCGGUAAUACGUAGGGUGCAAGCGUUAAUCGGAAUUACUGGGCGUAAAGCGUGCGCAGGCGGUUUUGUAAGUCUGACGUGAAAUCCCCGGGCUCAACCUGGGAAUUGCGUUGGAGACUGCAAGGCUAGAAUCUGGCAGAGGGGGGUAGAAUUCCACGUGUAGCAGUGAAAUGCGUAGAGAUGUGGAGGAACACCGAUGGCGAAGGCAGCCCCCUGGGUCAAGAUUGACGCUCAUGCACGAAAGCGUGGGGAGCAAACAGGAUUAGAUACCCUGGUAGUCCACGCCCUAAACGAUGUCUACUAGUUGUCGGGUUUUAAUUAACUUGGUAACGCAGCUAACGCGUGAAGUAGACCGCCUGGGGAGUACGGUCGCAAGAUUAAAACUCAAAGGAAUUGACGGGGACCCGCACAAGCGGUGGAUGAUGUGGAUUAAUUCGAUGCAACGCGAAAAACCUUACCUACCCUUGACAUGUACGGAAGACCGAAGAGAUUUGGUUGUGCUCGAAAGAGAACCGUAACACAGGUGCUGCAUGGCUGUCGUCAGCUCGUGUCGUGNNAUGUUGGGUUAAGUCCCGCAACGAGG